CUUCUCCAGCUUGUGGAACCUGCCGCAGGGUGGAGAGUGAGAUGGGCGGCAACAUCCUUUCAUCUUUACCCGGCACCCUGCACCCUGCACCCUGCACCCAGCACCCUGCACCCUGGGGGACUUUGCCAAGGAUGGGGAAGAGGGAGGCAGUCCCUCCUUGUGUACUUCAGCAGAUAAAGUCUUUCCCAGGGGCUAUUCUAGUAUCAGGUUGCAACACUCCCCUCCGGAGACCUCCCCACGAAGACCUCUGGUGGGGAGAUCUUUGCAUGAAGCUUCUCUUGGAUGCACCUGGCAGGAUGUACCUGCCCUGGUCACACCUGCCCUGGAGGCUUCUGAACCAUCCCUAGAUGAUCAACACCGUGCAGAAGAAAUAGAAUGCAAGCCCCAGUUGUAAUGCUGAAUAUUCCAGCAAGCACAUUUUGGAAAUGGAAGAAUUAGAUUAUUUAAUCUAAUAUAUUAAAACUACUACCAUUUCAACAUGCGAUUAAUAUUUUGAAAA
Cavia porcellus (domestic guinea pig) is the source of this 499-nucleotide long non-coding RNA. RefSeq lists it as uncharacterized. The record is from RefSeq and is a predicted model, not a curated record. The transcript is spliced from 2 exons. Lineage: Eukaryota; Metazoa; Chordata; Mammalia; Rodentia; Caviidae.